This 254-nucleotide ribosomal RNA is filed under the name uncultured bacterium. RNAcentral's name for it is "partial 16S ribosomal RNA". It matches the Rfam family "Bacterial small subunit ribosomal RNA", at positions 524 to 776 of the family's 1533-position model. The record is from RNAcentral.
UACGGAGGGGGCUAGCGUUGUUCGGAAUUACUGGGCGUAAAGCGCACGUAGGCGGCUUUGUAAGUUAGAGGUGAAAGCCCGGGGCUCAACUCCGGAAUUGCCUUUAAGACUGCAUCGCUAGAAUUGUGGAGAGGUAAGUGGAAUUCCGAGUGUAGAGGUGAAAUUCGUAGAUAUUCGGAAGAACACCAGUGGCGAAGGCGGCUUACUGGCUCGUUACGUGACGCUCAGGCGCGACAGCGUGGGGAGCAAACAGG